CUACUGAGCAGCGCUGACCGCCCCCCUGACCGCCCCCCUGACCGCCCCCCUGACCGCCCCCCUNNNNNNNNNNNNCUCUGGGAGACUUCCCUGCACGAUGCGCUUUUGCCGGAAAAACCAGAAAGAGAGCUGCCCUGCCCGGGCUGCUGUCACCCGCGCAGCCCUAAGUGAACCAGACUCUGACCUGCGUCCUCAGAAAACGGGUGGCGGGUGCUUCAAUGCGAAGACUGGCUUGAGUUCUUGUACCUGUUGUGGAAUCCUGCCCCAAGGCCACAGGGGCGAGGCCUUGCCUCGAGGCCUCAGUCACAGCAGCAGAGCCCAGAACAAAGGUCACCUCCGGAGCUGACUGAGCCCCUCUCUGAUUGUUGCCAGAAGCCCCCCCGACCGUCACCAGCAGGCUUCCUGAUCGCAGUUAGGUAGGAUGCUCAUCCCCGCAGUCACCCCAUAGCACCCUAACUGAUCACCUAACACCAACCUUCCAACAGGAGCGUUCUUCGUCUCGAGGCCAUAAGAGUUGGCUGCUAACCCACGGUGGGCUCUCCCUGGCCGUCAGGAGGCCGGCCCGCUGUACUCGAAGAGCUCACGUUGACUCUGCUCUCUGCCCUCGAAAGCCUCACUCCUUUCUGAAACGCCCUCUGUCCGGACGUUCUUUUCCAGCCCGCACUUGGACUGCCAGCGACACCCAUCCCUCCCGGCAGGCCUCAUGGGUGAUGCCUUCUUCUCCCCUCUGUGACCUCACAACCCCCCACGGUCCCGGGGAACCCGACGGCAGAGAGACCUCAGCCCCAGGUCCGGGGACCCUCGUGGCCAGACCUGCCUCAAGCAGCCAAGGAGAGGGGCGCCUCCGCCCUUUCCCUGCUGAGUCCGCUGGUGCCGGGAGGUGGGCCAGGGCGCUGCUGACGACAGGCAACCUGUGUGAUGCGGUUUCCCCCCUGGGGGCAGGGAAACCUCAGGGCUGGCCCCACACAUUUCUGGGGACCGUGAACACAGUGCUGAUGGGUUUGGUCACACCUGUAAACCAUGGGCAGCGUCUGGCAGGCAGGACACAUCCCCCUGCCCAGGCCCUCUGGCUGCAGCUCUUAACACAAACAGCUGCUGUUUCCCCCCAAAAAGGGCUUUCUUCCAGAUGGUUCCUGGUCCAUGAGGAGCCACCACCCGGGACGUCCCGGCCCCCAGAGAGCACAGCGGGAGCCGGAGCGGCUGGUCCCUGCAGAAGCGGAGCUGGGGGGCUGCGGAGGGUGGUCAGGCGGCCUACAGCGCCACAGUUGAGGCAGGACUCGGGCCUGCUCACCACCGGAGCUCUGAGUUAUUGGGUAGCCAGAAUCCCAGGAAUUCAAAAGUUAGAAUUCCCCCGAUGUCAUCCCCUCCUGGCAGGACUGGGCUUCCCACCAUGGACUCGAAGGCCUCUGAGGCUGAGGCCCGCCGUCCAGCCAGGCCCGCCCGCCGCCCCCGCGGCGUUCCCAGGCUGA
This 1469-nucleotide long non-coding RNA is filed under the name Capra hircus (goat). RNAcentral's name for it is "lncRNA (ENSCHIG00010012804.1)". Lineage: Eukaryota; Metazoa; Chordata; Mammalia; Artiodactyla; Bovidae. The record is from RNAcentral.